CAUGACUUAAGAUUAGAAUUUAAGGAGACCUAUUGAGAAUAGAUUUCUUGUAGGCUUUGAGCAUCAUGAGGAUUAGCACUGCUAUUCCGAUUCAGAGAUAACGUUAAACGACAGGCAUUGCCUAUACAGGUUGAGCAGUUGAUGGAAUGGAAUGAUGUUGAGCGGGUGUUCCUUUGACAUUUCAAGAAAUGUAACCUUGAGUAGUAUAUCUUCAUAUGUAUAUCUCACACGUUUUCCGCUGCAAAGCACUUUGAUUAGGAUAGCUCUAUGUUAUGAAGUUGUUAUACGUGUUAUUGGGUAAACCACCUUAAUCAGUUCUCAUUUAUGUGUAUGUUUUAUAAGUAUCCAAAUAAUCAUAUAUGAUCCUAGCAUUUUAUC
Long non-coding RNA from Salvia miltiorrhiza (redroot sage), 378 nucleotides. RefSeq lists it as uncharacterized. The transcript has 2 exons. Lineage: Eukaryota; Viridiplantae; Streptophyta; Magnoliopsida; Lamiales; Lamiaceae. The record is from RefSeq and is a predicted model, not a curated record.